GCCGGGCAUGGUGGUGCACGCCUGUAAUCCCAGUGCCUCGGGAGGCUGAGGCAGGAGGAUUGCAAGUUCAAAUCCAGCCUUAG
RNAcentral lists this small RNA (83 nucleotides) under Marmota monax (woodchuck). The record is from RNAcentral. Lineage: Eukaryota; Metazoa; Chordata; Mammalia; Rodentia; Sciuridae.